GAUGAACGCUGGCGGCGUGCCUAACACAUGCAAGUCGAACGAAAAGACGCGAAGCUUGUUCCUUUCUCGUUAGCGGCGGGCGGGUGUGUAACACGUGGAUAACCCACUUCUCUUCCUGGGAUAACUGCGGAAAUCCGUAUCUAAUCCCGUAUAAUAUCUUCUACGGUAUGGUUCAGUAGAGAUUGAUCGGUUUGGUGUCACUUCUAGACGUAUCCGCUGCGUAUUGGCUAGUUGGUAAGGUAACGCCUUACCAAGGCGACGAUGCGUAGCCGAGCUGAGAGGGUGAUGGGCCACACUGGAACUGAGAGACGGUACAGACUCCUACGGGAGGCAGAAGUAGGGAAUCUUGGGAAAUGGGCGAAAGCCUGACGGAGCAACGCAGCGUGGGUGAAGAAGGGCUGCGGGUCGUAAAACUCUGUUAUUGGGGAAGAACAAAUGUGCAAGUAACUAUGCACGUCUUGACGGUACCUAAUGAAAAAGCAACGGCUAACUACGUG
This 497-nucleotide ribosomal RNA is filed under the name uncultured bacterium. RNAcentral describes it as "partial 16S ribosomal RNA". It matches the Rfam family "Bacterial small subunit ribosomal RNA", at positions 28 to 507 of the family's 1533-position model. The record is from RNAcentral.